Anguilla anguilla (European eel) is the source of this 304-nucleotide long non-coding RNA. RefSeq lists it as uncharacterized. The record is from RefSeq and is a predicted model, not a curated record. NCBI's taxonomy places the organism in Eukaryota, Metazoa, Chordata, Actinopteri, Anguilliformes, Anguillidae. The transcript has 3 exons.
AAGUUAGCCUACUCUUAAUAAUUACGGGAGUUGACAGCUAACAUGUCAUAAUAGUUACAUCCUGUAGAUGGCACUCUGUACCAACAGUGAUAAAUAAACUAUUGUCCUUGUGUGGGGCCAAAGAAAGUGAAUUGAAAAGCACCAUUAUCAUUCCCAGGAGGAACCAUCAUCUCCUCUCUGAAAGGGACAGUGAUGAAGACAGCAUGAAGAGCGAUCUAUUGGUGAUUUACCAUAAGGUCUUGGGGUCGUCCAGCAAACUCCACAGAUUGAGUGACCAGUGCUUCCUUCAUUGCCUGCAGACUGU